CACGUAGGGGCCAAGCGUUGUCCGGAUUCAUUGGGCGUAAAGAGCCCGUAGGCGGUUCAGUCAGUCGGGUGUGAAAUCUCCGGGCUCAACCCGGAGGGGCCACCCGAUACUGCUGUGACUCGAGUCCGGUAGGGGAGUGGGGAAUUCCUGGUGUAGCGGUGAAAUGCGCAGAUAUCAGGAGGAACACCGGCGGCGAAGGCGGCCCUCUGGCUCGUUGCUGACGCUGAAACGCGAAAGCGUGGGGAGCAAACAGG
This 254-nucleotide ribosomal RNA is filed under the name uncultured bacterium. Its description in RNAcentral is "partial 16S ribosomal RNA". It matches the Rfam family "Bacterial small subunit ribosomal RNA", at positions 524 to 776 of the family's 1533-position model. The record is from RNAcentral.